UGGGGUGCACCAGGCGAGAAAACUUUGCAAUGUGCGAAAGCACGACAAGGUUAGUCCGAGUGAUUUCUGCUAAAGAGAUCUUUUGCUAGUUAUAAAACCACUAGUGAAUAAGGGGUGGGCAAGUUCUGGUGUCAGCCGCCGCGGUAAAACCAGCACCUCAAGUGGUCAGGAUGAUUAUUGGGCCUAAAGCAUCCGUAGCCGGCUCUGUAAGUUUUCGGUUAAAUCCAUGUGCUCAACGCAUGGGCUGCCGAAAAUACUGCAGAGAUAGGGAGUGGGAGAGGUAGACGGUACUCGGUAGGAAGGGGUAAAAUCCUUUGAUCUAUCGAUGACCACCUGUGGCGAAGGCGGUCUACCAGAACACGUUCGACGGUGAGGGAUGAAAGCUGGGGGAGCAAACCGGAUUAGAUACCCGGGUAGUCCCAGCUGUAAACGAUGCAGACUCGAUGAUGCAUUGGCAUAUAGCCAGUGCAGUGUCGCAGGGAAGCCGUUAAGUCUGCCGCCUGGGAAGUACGUACGCAAGUAUGAAACUUAAAGGAAUUGG
Molecule: ribosomal RNA, 541 nt
Filed under: uncultured Nitrososphaerota archaeon
Lineage: Archaea; Thermoproteati; Nitrososphaerota
Description: bacterial SSU rRNA
Rfam family: Archaeal small subunit ribosomal RNA
Source: RNAcentral